This is a non-coding RNA of Nicotiana tabacum (common tobacco), 1301 nucleotides long. The record is from RefSeq and is a predicted model, not a curated record. Lineage: Eukaryota; Viridiplantae; Streptophyta; Magnoliopsida; Solanales; Solanaceae.
ACCUAAAAUUUUGUUAUAGGUUAAAUCAAUUAAAUUUAUGUAAUAAGGCCAAAUAAUUGCAAAUGAGAACAUAGUAAUAGCGGUAAAGAAGAAGAAAAGUAAUUAUUAUUGAUAAUCCUUUGAAUGAUGUGCAGAGUUGGUCGCGAUGCUUAGAGCAACUAAAUCAGUAGUCAUUUCAGUAUCUUAACAGUAUGAGUAUGAAUUCGAAUUUGGUACAAACAUGGGGAAGAAAGUACUUAUAGUGUAGACCUAAUGUAAUUGCUACCUAAAAAUCACGCUUGCCCGUUAUAAGUAGUAUCGGGGGAAAAUAUGUUAAAAAAGACAUCUCAAGUAUUUGUGUAAGUAUUUGGGACACCUUUUUUGAUUAACAAACACUGAUUAAUUAAGAAGGAUGAGGGGUGGUCUGGUCAAAUUAAAAAUAAAAAAACUUUGGGGUAAAAUUUAAAAUACUAAAAAAAAUAUCUUUCUAAUUAGACACGAUUUUUCAACUUUUCUCUUUCUUCUCUUUUCAAAACCACACACGAUUACCCCCAAACUUUUCUAACUUUUCUCUCAAAUUCAAUCUUCAAACUCAAGAGUACUAUAGGGCUUCAAAAAUCGGCUCCAUUCCGUUCAAAUUUUCUUUGAAGUCGAGAUUCCAUCAUCAAGGGACGUGUGUCAAAGACAUGUGAAAGAGAAAGAGAUAAAUCUCCUUCCAAAAGAUCUAGCAAAAGAAUUAGGACAUCUCAGGAGGAUGAACUACAAAAAUCAAUUGUAGCUGAAGUGGAAGCCAAACAUCUUCAGGUAGUAAAAGGAGGGAAUGUUGGAGAAGAAGAAAAAGAGAACGAAAAUGAAGAGGAAAUUGAGAAAGAAAAUAAAGAGAAAACAGAGAAUGUACUAGGAGGGAAUGCUAGAUAAGCGGAAACAGAGAAAGAAAAAGAAGAGGAAACAGAAAAGGAACAAGAAGAGGAAACAAGGAAAGUAAGAGAAGAAAAGACAAUUGUUGAUGAAAAAGAAUCAAAAAAGGAGACAACAAUUGAUGAAAGAGAAGAGCAGGCAAAUAUUGAUGAUGGGGCAUCAGUAGCAAAUACUGAAGAAGAAGCUUCAAGAGAAGAAGAAGAAGAGGCAGUGGAAGAAAGAAGAAAAAAGAGAAAGAAUGAUAAUGCACCUUCUCAAUUUGUUUAGGUAAGCUUAAUAUGUUUCAAACAUCUCUCUGGAUAUUUAAAAUUUCUGUCUAGAUGUUUGAAAUAUUUUCUAGGAUGUUUCACUAAAUACAACUGUAAAAAGAUAUUUUUAAUUAUUAAAUUAAUUAUUCGUGUGCA